UGGGGAAUUUUGGACAAUGGGCGAAAGCCUGAUCCAGCCAUGCCGCGGGAGUGAAGAAGGCCUUCGGGUUGUAAAGCUCUUUUAGUCGGAAAGAAAGAGUUGCAAUGAAUAAUUGUGAUUUAUGACGGUACCGACAGAAAAAGCACCGGCUAACUACGUGCCAGCAGCCGCGGUAAUACGUAGGGUGCGAGCGUUAAUCGGAAUUACUGGGCGUAAAGGGUGCGCAGGCGGUCUUGCAAGUCAGAUGUGAAAUCCCCGGGCUUAACCUGGGAAUUGCGUUUGAAACUACAAGACUAGAGUGCAGCAGAGGGGAGUGGAAUUCCAUGUGUAGCAGUGAAAUGCGUAGAGAUGUGGAAGAACACCGAUGGCGAAGGCAGCGCCCUGGGUUGACACUGACGCUCAUGCACGAAAGCGUGGGGAGCAAACA
This 427-nucleotide ribosomal RNA is filed under the name uncultured beta proteobacterium. RNAcentral's name for it is "bacterial SSU rRNA". It matches the Rfam family "Bacterial small subunit ribosomal RNA", at positions 355 to 774 of the family's 1533-position model. Lineage: Bacteria; Pseudomonadati; Pseudomonadota; Betaproteobacteria. The record is from RNAcentral.